This 497-nucleotide ribosomal RNA is filed under the name uncultured bacterium. Its description in RNAcentral is "partial 16S ribosomal RNA". It matches the Rfam family "Bacterial small subunit ribosomal RNA", at positions 28 to 507 of the family's 1533-position model. The record is from RNAcentral.
GAUGAACGCUGGCGGCGUGCCUAAUACAUGCAAGUCGAGCGAACAGACGAGGAGCUUGCUCCUCUGACGUUAGCGGCGGACGGGUGAGUAACACGUGGAUAACCUACCUAUCAGACUGGGAUAACUUCGGGAAACCGGAGCUAAUACCGGAUAAUAUAUUGAACCGCAUGGUUCAAUAGUGAAAGACGGUUUUGCUGUCACUUAUAGAUGGAUCCGCGCCGCAUUAGCUAGUUGGUAAGGUAACGGCUUACCAAGGCAACGAUGCGUAGCCGACCUGAGAGGGUGAUCGGCCACACUGGAACUGGGACACGGUCCAGACUCCUACGGGAGGCAGCAGUAGGGAAUCUUCCGCAAUGGGCGAAAGCCUGACGGAGCAACGCCGCGUGAGUGAUGAAGGUCUUCGGAUCGUAAAACUCUGUUAUUAGGGAAGAACAAAUGUGUAAGUAACUAUGCACGUCUUGACGGUACCUAAUCAGAAAGCCACGGCUAACUACGUG